Non-coding RNA from Castor canadensis (American beaver), 480 nucleotides. Lineage: Eukaryota; Metazoa; Chordata; Mammalia; Rodentia; Castoridae. The record is from the annotation of a RefSeq genome assembly.
UUGCAAGUCUACAAUUGAUGCUAUUUAGGAAAAACAAUGAGGAGACUGAUGCAUGAGUUACUCCUCUUCUUGUGGCUGCAGCUGGACUGUGUGAUCCAAGGAGAGAAGGUGGAGCAGCAUCCUUCUAUCCUGAGUGUCCAUGAAGGAGACCACUCUGUUAUCAACUGCACUUACUCAGACAGUGCCUCGGCCUACUUCCCUUGGUACAAGCAAGAACAUGGAAAGGGUCCCCAGCUCAUUAUUGACCUUCGUUCAAAUCGGGACACAAGUAAUAAAGACAGACUCAUGGUUUUACUGAACAAAAAGGACAAGCACUUCUCCCUGUACAUCAAUGGUACCAGGCCUGGGGACUCAGCUGUCUACUUCUGUGCAGCGAGUACACAUUGCUUUCCAGGCACCUGCAACCUGUCCUCAAACCUGCCACUGAGACUGCAGCCCCACCUUUGUCCUUUGGCACAGACCAUCUGGCACUGCAUUUGA